GCGAACAGACGAGGAGCUUGCUCCUUUGACGUUAGCGGCGGACGGGUGAGUAACACGUAGGUAACCUACCUAUAAGACUGGGAUAACUUCGGGAAACCGGAGCUAAUACCGGAUAAUAUUUCGAACCGCAUGGUUCGAUAGUGAAAGAUGGCUUUGCUAUCACUUAUAGAUGGACCUGCGCCGUAUUAGCUAGUUGGUAAGGUAACGGCUUACCAAGGCAACGAUACGUAGCCGACCUGAGAGGGUGAUCGGCCACACUGGAACUGAGACACGGUCCAGACUCCUACGGGAGGCAGCAGUAGGGAAUCUUCCGCAAUGGGCGAAAGCCUGACGGAGCAACGCCGCGUGAGUGAUGAAGGUCUUCGGAUCGUAAAACUCUGUUAUUAGGGAAGAACAAACGUGUAAGUAACUGUGCACGUCUUGACGGUACCUAAUCAGAAAGCCACGGCUAACUACGUGCCAGCAGCCGCGGUAAUACGUAGGUGGCAAGCGUUAUCCGGAAUUAUUGGGCGUAAAGCGCGCGUAGGCGGUUUUUUAAGUCUGAUGUGAAAGCCCACGGCUCAACCGUGGAGGGUCAUUGGAAACUGGAAAACUUGAGUGCAGAAGAGGAAAGUGGAAUUCCAUGUGUAGCGGUGAAAUGCGCAGAGAUAUGGAGGAACACCAGUGGCGAAGGCGACUUUCUGGUCUGUAACUGACGCUGAUGUGCGAAAGCGUGGGGAUCAAACAGGAUUAGAUACCCUGGUAGUCCACGCCGUAAACGAUG
Molecule: ribosomal RNA, 763 nt
Filed under: Staphylococcus hominis
Lineage: Bacteria; Bacillati; Bacillota; Bacilli; Caryophanales; Staphylococcaceae
Description: bacterial SSU rRNA
Rfam family: Bacterial small subunit ribosomal RNA
Source: RNAcentral